Molecule: unclassified non-coding RNA, 585 nt
Filed under: Koeleria spicata
Lineage: Eukaryota; Viridiplantae; Streptophyta; Magnoliopsida; Poales; Poaceae
Description: sequence contains ITS1, 5.8S rRNA gene, ITS2
Rfam family: 5.8S ribosomal RNA (bases 203-358)
Source: RNAcentral
GAAAACAGACCGCGCACGCGUCAUCCAGCCCGCCGAGCGGUCCGCCGCUCGGCCAAGUCCUCGACAACCUCCUCUCCUCGGAGCGGGGGCUCGGGGUAAAAGAACCCACGGCGCCGAAGGCGUCAAGGAACACUGUGCCUAGCACGGGGACGCGGCUGGCUUGCUGGCCGCACCCCGUGCUGCAAUGCUAUUUAAUCCACACGACUCUCGGCAACGGAUAUCUCGGCUCUCGCAUCGAUGAAGAACGUAGCGAAAUGCGAUACCUGGUGUGAAUUGCAGAAUCCCGCGAACCAUCGAGUCUUUGAACGCAAGUUGCGCCCGAGGCCAUCCGGCCGAGGGCACGCCUGCCUGGGCGUCACGCUAAACACGCUCCCACCCCCCCUCAUCGGGGGAGCGGGAUGCGGCAUGUGGCCUCCCGUCUCGCAAGGGGCGGUGGGCCGAAGAUAUGGCUGCCGGCGUAUCGUGCCGGACACAGCGCUAGGUGGGCGUUCUCGCUAAGCUUAUCGCAGUGUAUCCGGUACGUAGCUGGCACGAUGGCCUUUAAAGACCCUUUGAACGGUGCGCAUGACGCUCCGACCGCGACCC